RNAcentral lists this ribosomal RNA (275 nucleotides) under uncultured bacterium. RNAcentral's name for it is "partial 16S ribosomal RNA". It matches the Rfam family "Bacterial small subunit ribosomal RNA", at positions 337 to 604 of the family's 1533-position model. The record is from RNAcentral.
UCCUACGGGACGCAGCAGUAGGGAAUUUUCGUCAAUGGGCGCAAGCCUGAACGAGCGAUGCCGCGUGAGUGACGCCGGCCUUCGGGUCGUCCCGCUCUGUUGCGGGGGCCCCACGGCAGCAUCAGGAAAUGGGUGCUGACUGAUGGUGCCCCGCCAGAAAGUCACGGCUAACUACGUGCCAGCAGCCGCGGUAAUACGUAGGUGGCGAGCGUGAUCCGGAAUGAUUGGGCGUAAAGGCUGCGCAGGCGGUACUGCAAGUCUGGAAUGAAACGCAU